Molecule: long non-coding RNA, 244 nt
Filed under: Amborella trichopoda
Lineage: Eukaryota; Viridiplantae; Streptophyta; Magnoliopsida; Amborellales; Amborellaceae
Description: long non-coding RNA (ATRI_LNC003351)
Source: RNAcentral
UCUACUUCAUUCAUUUCAGCUUAAUCUUUCCAAUCCUAUUUUAUUUUAUUUACCUUAUUGAUUUUAUUAUCUUAUCCAAUUUUAUCUAAUUCCAUUUUAAUUAUUUAUUUUCUUUAUUUCAUUUACCUCUUUUAUUUUAUUUAUUCCAUCGUAUUUUAUUUCAUUUUCUUUUACCCCUUUUAUUUUGUUAUCCUUUACUUCAUUUUAUUUUCAUUCCAUCUUCUAAUUCCAUUUUAUUUAAUUC